CCUACGGGAGGCAGCAGUGGGGAAUAUUGGGCAAUGGACGCAAGUCUGACCCAGCAACGCCGCGUGAAGGAAGAAGGCUUUCGGGUUGUAAACUUCUUUUAAGGGGGAAGAGCAGAAGACGGUACCCCUUUAAUAAGCCACGGCUAACUACGUUCCAGCAGCCGCGGGAAUACGUAGGUGGCAAGCGUUGUCCGGAUUUACUGGGUGUAAAGGGCGUGCAGCCGGGGAGACAAGUCAGAUGUGAAAUCCACGGGCUCAACCCGUGAACUGCAUUUGAAACUGUUUCCCUUGAGUGUCGGAGAGGUAGUCGGAAUUCCUUGUGUAGCGGUGAAAUGCGUAGAUAUAAGGAAGAACACCAGUGGCGAAGGCGGAUUACUGGACGAUAACUGACGGUGAGGCGCGAAAGCGUGGGGAGCAAACAGGAUUAGAUACCCUUGUAGUC
RNAcentral lists this ribosomal RNA (442 nucleotides) under uncultured bacterium. RNAcentral's name for it is "partial 16S ribosomal RNA". It matches the Rfam family "Bacterial small subunit ribosomal RNA", at positions 338 to 795 of the family's 1533-position model. The record is from RNAcentral.